ACAGGAGUUUUCUUUCCAAAUAACAUAUAAACAAAAGACAAACGAGGGGUUAAGGUUGUUAGGGAUUUAAGUAGUUGAGCACACCUAGUAGUAGAAAUUAUAAUACAUGUAGUAAUGUUUAGUGUUAGAAUUGUAGUUUGUGUGAUGUCAGAUGUUAGUUAUUACAUUAGCUUGUUAGAUGAAAUAAUUGCAAUAUGAAUCGAACACAAUUUGUAGUAAUUUAAGUCAUAUAAUUACUGUAAACAUUAAUAUCCUGUCACAAUGUGAUGUUAAAACCUGCGGACGGAUGCUAAUUCCUGUCCUUUAUGGAUUUCUCACAAUUUUCUCCCCAAAGAGUUUUUUUUGGGAGUUUUUCUCCUGUCAGGUAGUGAAUGAGCAAAGCGAGGCAAACAUUCUGAUUUUGGACCAUAUAGAAGUGAGUUAAACACAAUGGUGUUUAAGUAAGAUGUGAUUAAAUGUGAUGUUAUUCUACAUGCUAUGUUACGUUUACAUGAUGAAGCUUUAAGCCAAAGCUGUGACCAUUGAAUGUACUGUAGUAUUAAGUGAACAGGGAUCGGUCAGGUCACUGAGGGAUUUCAGAUUCCACCAUCAGACGGAGCCAGGAGGGAGUCAUGUGAUGCCUUGGAGAAGAAAGGAAUUCUCCAGGGAGGAGGUGGGCUCCGAUAUGCAGCCAAUCACAUACGACUGCAGCACAAGCGACAGACUCAAAAGUUAAUUGCUGAUCAGAUCAUGUUGUCAUCAUGAAUGCAGCAAAAUAGAUUUGUAUUUUUGAGACGAUUUGUAACCUUGAAUAUAAAAGCGAUAUUCCUUUUUUUAUUCAGCAAUGCAUUAUUACUAUUACUACGCUCUGGUUCGUACCUGGUGGGAGCCAAAUAGGUGGAAUGCAUUGGCCAAAUUGCAGUCUGGGAACCCACGGCUGUCACCUAACGAUGGUUUAGCUUUGGAUUUCACAAAAUGAACCAUUAAAUCAAUGUACACCAGCCGCCAGAGGCUGAAUUGUCCUCAGAGCAACAGCCAAUGGGUUCCGAGAUUGAUGAUGCAAUCAGAUGCAAUACAUGUGCACAGAGAUUUUAAUUUCAUUCUAUAGAACAAAGUGUAAAUGGUGUAUUGCAUACAUUUUAGUCUUCACUCAAAAGCCAUGUACGUAUGGCUGAGGCGUGAGCAGCACGUGCGGCUGAAUCGAAUUAAUAGUGUGAACGUUUUGGCCUCAUAAAGCCGGAGCUGUGUUUAUGCCAUCCUCAUUACGCGGCCUGCAAGUCUCCUCGCCCUGAGGUGUCUGAACCCGGGACUCACAUCGUAGAAAGUGGACACCGCGGCCGACCUCCUCGCCAGUUCGGGAGUUUUGAUAUCCACCAGUUUUAGCCUGCUGUCAUCUGAAGUUGAUGUUCAUGUUUUUGCUGAUGGCCAACAGGGCAUGCGGCGAAAUAUGAAACUGGAUUCCUCGGAUCCGGAGGGCAGGGUUCCUUGGAAUUACCUCCGCAUGUCCAGAACCACGCCUACUUGGGAUUAUCAUUUCACUCUUUGAUCAAGCCGUUCCAAAAUCGUUCACAAUCUAAGCGGUGAGCAAUUGCAGGGAAGUCGAAUUUUUAUCGGUAACUUUAUUUUACUCUCAGACUCCUUUCUUGUCCGAUUCAAACUCUCUCAGUGUCAGUUUAUGGGUGUAACACCGUGUCAUUCUCAAUGUGCUGUGCAAGACUUAAUAGACAUGGGAUACAUGCAUAUAUUCCAUCUAUUAACCAUUAUUAAGGUUAUUUAUUAGGCCUUAAAUGGUGCCACUAUCUCAAAUGGGAGGACUUUUUCUUUGUGUAAAAUCAUUGUAAAUUGAAUAUCUUUGGGUUCUGGAGUGUAGAGAAACACAUCAUUUUCAGCCUCGGGAAGUAAUACAUAAAUGAAUCAAUGGCAUAUAAUAGAAUCACUAGUCGCUGCCCUGCUUCCUCAUGCUGCUUUGAGUCAGCGCUGGAAUGACUGAGUCCAUGACACCAAUUAGAGCUUUAGUCAAUAAGCUAGACAAGAGUUUUUCUGCUGUGUCACUGUGUGUAACCUUACAUGAAAUGAUGUCCUGGGGUUUUACAUGCAUGAUGAAAAGCUAUAACACCAAAUGAAGCUGGUGAUGUUGGUGACUUUUACAUCAGCUUGAUUUUAUCUUACAUAUUAAUGCCAUUGCUGUCAAAGACAGUAACUCGUCUCCUUCAGAUUUGAAAUAGAUUUCCAUGCUCUACUAAGCAUCCAAAUCAUCCUAGAACUUUCCGCCUGUACAAAUAAUUUCAGUCGGAGCACGUUUUUCUUUUUUGGUUGUUUUCUUUGCAAGAAGAACCAUGUUUACACUGGCACUUACAAGGCCUCACUUGUUCACCAGCUCAGAAGUUUACUCAGUGUUAGCUCAAACAUUUUUUGUAGUUCACCUGCCAUGUUCCUACAUGUCAGAGUGAGCUUUACAACGUAAACAGACGGCUGAACCGUGUUCUCGGGUCACGCUGAGGCCGGUUGUGUCUGACAGCGUUUCUUAACUCGUAGCGUCCUUCAAAUACUUGUUCCUCCUCAUCAAUGCAUCUUCCCCCCCUUGUGAUCUCAGACAAGAAUCGUUCAAAGGACGUGGGUGGAUUUAAAGUCUGACGUGCUGAAGUUUAAAAUGAAUUUCUAAAUUUGUUGCUGGUGGAGACUUAUUUGCUCUUUUUAGUUGGUUUUUCAUGGUGUAUUUAACCGUUUGCUUGUGUGCACGGAGGAUUUGUGGAUUCCCCAAGCAAACACUGCUCCACUGGUUUUGGGAAGAUGACAGCACAUGCCCUAUAAUGGAGGAUGCCAUGCCAUCUAUAUCCAUAUCCAUACACAUAUUCCCUACAUUUCCCUCACCGCACAACGAAAAUAAAUAAGAAACCAACACGAACAUUGGAAUUAUCGGCUGAAUGUGUUUAAUAUUGCAAACAGUAUUUUCCUGGAGAAAACUUCAACAUUGUGUGCUUCAACAACUGUAAUUCCAGCACAUCAAAGAUUCAUAUCAAGAAAAUGAUGUUCUUUUAGAUGCUGUAUUUUCAGCUUCCACCAGAGCUGUAAUUGAAUCCAGCUCAAAGAGCAACCGUCUGCUGUGGAACCUUAGACUCCUAUAAAUAAACAGGCCGCACUCCUUCAACACUCGCCUAUAUGGCACAUGGAAUGGUUAGCUCAUGGCAAGAGCCCUCUGAUCUUACAGUUGGUAGCCACAACUAUUUUCUGUCAGCUAUGUGCUUUGCUUGACUCGAGUACUGUGUCAAGAAUGACGUCUUUGGAGAAUUCACAAAAUUGAGUCAGCCUACGCUGUACAAUGGCCUGGCAUGCAUUUGUUGUUGACUGUUACUGUGUAGUGUUGAUGUUGCUAACAGGGCAAUUUUAUAAUUCAAAGAUGCAAUAACAUAAAAUGAUCAUUUGGCCCAACCACUAGACGUAGUGAGGCCUUAAAAAGAGGAAAACAGAAUGAUCUUUUCAAACUAAAUUAAAUGUGUUUAUACUCUUCACUAAUAUAAAUAUAUUUGUAUCGUAGUAAAAGCUAUUUUUACUAUGUGAUAGGAUUGUCAUGUAUUAAUGAGCAACCGCGCCUGCUCAAACUGUACCAACAUUGGUGACAGAGAUUACACUCUGUAUGUUUGCAUAUCUGAUAAUACAUUACAAUUUUGCACAAGGAAGUGAGGUGAUUAUUGUUUUAAUGAAUGUUGAUCCGUCUCAGAAUGCUGCUUCACGUAGUGGAUGAAUUGUGACAAAGGGGUUUUAACUACAUUAUUGAAUUAGCGAGAAGCCGCAGCAGAUAUUCUGGAAAUGGGCUCUCCAAGCAUUUUUGUAAUAGUUUUCUUGCUGGCUUUUCCUGACUUGAAGCUAUUGCUGGCAAACGCUGUGGUAGAAUCAACUUAAUAAAACUCUCUCAAGGAACAAGCUGACUCAACAUGCUGAGGAUGUGCAGGCCCAAAGGACUAACUACUUUAUCUGAUGUUUCAUUAGGAUGUCACCCAUAUUACCAGAAGACAUCAGACUCAGAAUCAGAACCAGAAGCCAUUUAUUGCCAUGUAUGUUGACUUUGUACGUUAGUGCAGUAUAAGGAGAAUAAAAUAAGAUUGAGAUAAAAAUAUACAAUCAAGAAUCUGGCUGCACCACGACGCCAGAUGGUCAGACUCCCACCUGUAGGCGGACUCAUCCCCACCAGAGAUCAGUCCAAUGGGGGGGGGGGUCAUCUGCGAACUUCAGGAGCUUGACAUCCGCAAUAAAAGACAAUUUCUCUUACCUUAAAAUUCCCUCCAGAUGUGUCAGUGUAACGCAACAUUAAAAGUGAGGUGAUGAUUUACUUCGUUAUAAAAGAUGCAAUGAAACAUAAAUCACAUCAAUCAAUCAUUACCAGUGGACAUGUUGCAAACAAUAUAGCAGAAGGUAACAUGUAGAACAUCACUUUGCUCGUGCUCGUGGAGCACCAGUGACGAUAGGUGAUUAUGAUUACGUACUACAUAUUAGAUAUGGGUAAACUAUUGAUAUUUUUAUAAUUCAACCGAUACUUGAUUAUUCAAAAAUACAAUGAUUAUUCCACAGGUGAGAUAAGAAUAAUGCUAACUAAUUAUAGUGAAGGGACCAUUCACAAAGCAAUGAAACUAAUAUUUGCUUUUAUUUUUUACAGAUAAUCUUGCUUUGUUACAAUGCAGCUGAUGUACUCUGAAGUACAUUCAGUUCACUUAAAGCGCUUUACUGCUUCGCCGUAUCCGACAUGCUGAUACAGAUGACCGGCGGUAUGAGUCGAGCCAGCUGCGCUACGGUAAAGUGAAAGGUCAAAAGUCAGGGGCCUAAUGGACAGAGGGAGUGGCGGGUUGUCUCCCAUUACUGCAGCGGCCGCCUGAACUCAGCCAGACUGGAUGUUCCCUUUACCCAAUACGUUUGCUUUCUGGGUAACGACAACACUCGCGCCCGCCGCCGCCCCGCGCCUCGCUGCUCUCCCUGUCCGACCUUUAGGCCUGAGAAAAAAAGCCGGAAGUCAAGUGCAUGUUGCUGGUGAGCAAAGAAUGGCGCAGUGAAGCCAGCGGUCUUACUGUUGAUCCACCCAGGGGACAUCCGACAGGUCCUCUUAGGUCAAGCUAAAUAAAGAGGCAGUCAUCCUUAAAACACUUAGUGAUGGUAAUGUGUCAUUUAUGUUUUUUUGCUAAUGUUUUAUUUAUUACAUAAGGAUCAAUAUCUUACCGGGGGUUGCCGUGGGGUACAGUCGCAAUAUCAUAACAGAAAAUAAUAUUAUAUUCUAUUUGGAAUUUUGAAUGUAAUGAUACAACCAAAGAAAAGAGUUGAUUCCUGUGUGUUGACAAGAGCACCACCUAGAGACGGUACAACUGUAUUUAGGGGAAAUAUCUGAACACGCAGUCUCUGAAUUAUAGCUGGCUGCAACAAUACAUUCACAGUUAUUACAUUGCACUUGUUCAUUUUGCUGAUUGUCCUUCACCGUAUCUUCACUUUACAUGUAUGUUCUCGCUCUUGUAUCUCGCGCUACAAUCACAAUAUGACUGACAAAUGUGAAU
Molecule: long non-coding RNA, 5513 nt
Organism: Gasterosteus aculeatus aculeatus (three-spined stickleback)
Lineage: Eukaryota; Metazoa; Chordata; Actinopteri; Perciformes; Gasterosteidae
Source: Ensembl